Molecule: long non-coding RNA, 1648 nt
Filed under: Gossypium barbadense (sea-island cotton)
Lineage: Eukaryota; Viridiplantae; Streptophyta; Magnoliopsida; Malvales; Malvaceae
Description: long non-coding RNA (GBAR_LNC001824)
Source: RNAcentral
AACGAAAUCAGCAAGGGGGGAAGCCAUAGUUAGGGUUUUCAAGCUUCCAAGCUCCAUAGUAAGUGAUCCCAAGCCCCGUUUUUAAUGUUCUUUACGUUUUUGAGAUCCCGGUAGCUUAAUUUAGCUUAUUCUAGCAAUAAUUUAACCUAGGGUUUAUAUUUGGAAAAAUACCCAUAGGUGAAAAGUGUUUAUUUUGAUGUUUUAUGAUAGAAUAUGAAGCUAGAAAUUAUGUUAAACAACUUUUGCUAAGCGAUUUUAAGUGAAAACGAGUAAAACGACAUAAUCGGUAAAAAUACCUAAUGUUCAUAAGUACAUGUUAGAGUGGGAAUUUGAUGUUGCCAUAGAAGGGAAAAAUGUUCAGAAUGUUAUAAAACAUAAGAAUAAGAGAUGAAGUUUAAUUUCCGAGCCUUGGGGCAAAAAUGUAAUUAUGUAAAAGUUUAGGGGCAAAAUUGUAAUUUUGAAAAAGUUAGAGUCGAGGGCUUUUUUGAUGAAUGUGAUUAUUAAAUAAGUUAAAUUUACUAUUUUAGAUCAAGAAGUACGAAACUCGAGGUUAGACAAAGGGAAGAAUAAAGUUGAAGACUAAGUUGGUGAAUUUGGCUAUAAUUGGUUCCGAGGUAAGUUUACGGUAAAUAAAUGCAAUAUUUCAAUAUUUAUUAUUAAUGCUGUUAAUUUACAGCAAUUAUGAAUUUAUUUUAUGAAUUUAUUUGAUGAUGAUCCAAGCAUGAAAUGAUAGAGAAUUAAAAUUUAAAAGUCCCGUUGAUACAUAAGGAUGGUACUGGAUACGAAUGUCAUGACAUUUGGGUAAAGAGGUCCCAUGUAAGACCAUGUCUGGGACAUGGCAUUGGCACCGAGAUGAGAGGUCCCAUGUAAGACCAUGUCUGGGACAUGGCGUUGGCACCGAGAUGAGAGGUCCCCUAUAAGACCAUGUCUGGGACAUGGCAUGGGCACCAACACGAGAACAUCCCAUGUAAGACCAUGUCUGGGACAUGGCUUUGGCAUGUUAUUAUCAAAAGAGACCCGAGUAUCCUUAUUAUUCCAAUGUAGCUCAACGGGCUUGUAAACGAAUCAUGUUCAUGAAAGUUCAGUUUAAAGCAUAAAUGGCAAGCUCAGGUAAGUUGUAAGACUUAAGAACUUAUUAUACUAUCAAUUGAUGUUCAACGAUACAGCAAGGAUUGAGUAAGUUAUGCACACAAGUAUUCUAAGUAAACAAGUAAGAGAACUAGUAUGAGAUUAACUAAAGAGUAAACUAGAGAUAUAGACAUUGAGUUUAAUUAUUUAAGUUAAAUAUUGUUAUUUAUUUGCUAGUAAACUUACUAAGCUUUAUGCUUACUUCUUUUAUUUCUCUUUCUCUUAUAGUAUUGCAAAGCUACUUCAAGGAUCCUAAAGAAGUCGGAGAUCGUCCACACUAUCAACUACAACUGCUCGGUAUUUUAUAUCGAAACACGUUUGAGUUAUGGCAUGUAUAGGGAUUUAGUUAUUUUGUAUGUUUGUAAUGAUGAUUUUGCUAAUGAGUGAUGUGUAAGUAUUUGAUGAUGUAUGGUUAUUAAAAUGAUUAAGGAUGAAGGUGUUUGUUGUUAUGAAAGAUUAGGUGAUAAAUUAUGCAUGGAAAUCAUGAAAGGAUAAAAUUUUGCAAAGAAACAGAAUUCAG